CGAGAGGAGACCACUGGAAAUGGAGCAGCAGCAGGCCUAUCGCCCAGAAAUGAAGACAGAGAUGAAGCAAGGAGCACCCACCAGCUUCCUCCCGCCUGAAGCUUCUCAACUCAAGCCAGACAGGCAGCAAUUCCAGAGUCGAAAGAGGCCUUAUGAAGAAAACCGGGGACGGGGGUACUUUGAGCACCGAGAGGAUAGGAGGUGGGUGUAUGAGGCAGCAGUCAUCCUUGCUCUGGUAGGUCCCUAUAUCCAUAGCCUCGUGCUUGCUGGGGACAUUUGCACUAACCUAGAGGGGCUGAGUAGAGAUUCCCUCUGCUUUCACACUCUUCCUGUCCC
RNAcentral lists this small RNA (336 nucleotides) under Pongo abelii (Sumatran orangutan). Its description in RNAcentral is "retained intron". Lineage: Eukaryota; Metazoa; Chordata; Mammalia; Primates; Hominidae. The record is from RNAcentral.